This is a long non-coding RNA of Oncorhynchus keta (chum salmon), 493 nucleotides long. RefSeq lists it as uncharacterized. The record is from RefSeq and is a predicted model, not a curated record. The transcript has 3 exons. NCBI's taxonomy places the organism in Eukaryota, Metazoa, Chordata, Actinopteri, Salmoniformes, Salmonidae.
GGUGCCUUAUUGCUAUUAUAAACUGGUUACAGUACCGACGUAAUUAGAGAAGUAAAAUGACAUGUUUCAGCAUUCAGGGCCGGAACCAUCCAGUUUAUAAUAUAGGAUAGACGCUUGUGGUUUCUAGCUGCACCAAUCAGAGCAGUGAAGCGUGUCGUCGUGAAGCAACACUUUAGUGGUCAAAACCAUUCAUGCAAUUAUAGCAUUUAUAAAAUGGUCAGUUCCUAUCUCUCACUCUCUCGCUAUAAUAUAUACUAUUUUAAUUCUGAUCAUUUUCUGGAAAAUGAAAAGUGGAGGUGCAAAAACUUUAGUUCCUCCCUGUUUUAAUUUGCUCCUUGACUCAGGUGGCCAGGUGUGUGUUACGGAGGAAAGCUGCUUGGCUCAGGUGGCCAGGUGUGUGCUACGGAGGAAAGCUGCUUGGCUCAGGUGGCCAGGUGUGUGCUACGGAGGAAAGCUGCUUGGCUCAGGUGGCCAGGUGUGUGCUACGGAGGAA